GAUGAACGCUGGCGGCGUGCCUAAUACAUGCAAGUCGAGCGAACAGACGAGGAGCUUGCUCCUCUGACGUUAGCGGCGGACGGGUGAGUAACACGUGGAUAACCUACCUAUAAGACUGGGAUAACUUCGGGAAACCGGAGCUAAUACCGGAUAAUAUAUUGGACCGCAUGGUUCAAUAGUGAAAGACGGUUUUGCUGUCACUUAUAGAUGGAUCCGCGCCGCAUUAGCUAGUUGGUAAGGUAACGGCUUACCAAGGCAACGAUGCGUAGCCGACCUGAGAGGGUGAUCGGCCACACUGGAACUGAGACACGGUCCAGACUCCUACGGGAGGCAGCAGUAGGGAAUCUUCCGCAAAGGGCGAAAGCCUGACGGAGCAACGCCGCGUGAGUGAUGAAGGUCUUCGGAUCGUAAAACUCUGUUAUUAGGGAAGAACAAAUGUGUAAGUAACUAUGCACGUCUUGACGGUACCUAAUCAGAAAGCCACGGCUAACUACGUG
RNAcentral lists this ribosomal RNA (497 nucleotides) under uncultured bacterium. RNAcentral's name for it is "partial 16S ribosomal RNA". It matches the Rfam family "Bacterial small subunit ribosomal RNA", at positions 28 to 507 of the family's 1533-position model. The record is from RNAcentral.